RNAcentral lists this ribosomal RNA (499 nucleotides) under uncultured bacterium. RNAcentral's name for it is "partial 16S ribosomal RNA". It matches the Rfam family "Bacterial small subunit ribosomal RNA", at positions 899 to 1397 of the family's 1533-position model. The record is from RNAcentral.
ACUCAAAUGAAUAGACGGGGACCCGCACAAGCAGUGGAGUAUGUGGUUUAAUUCGAAGCAACGCGAAGAACCUUACCAGGUCUUGACAUCCCCCUGACCGGAUCAGAGAUGGUCCUUUCCUUCGGGACAGGGGAGACAGGUGGUGCAUGGUUGUCGUCAGCUCGUGUCGUGAGAUGUUGGGUUAAGUCCCGCAACGAGCGCAACCCUUGAUGCUAGUUGCCAGCACGUUAUGGUGGGCACUCUAGGAUGACUGCCGGUGACAAACCGGAGGAAGGUGGGGAUGACGUCAAAUCAUCAUGCCCCUUAUGACCUGGGCUACACACGUACUACAAUGGCCGUUACAGAGGGAAGCGAGGCCGCGAGGCGGAGCGAAUCUCAGAAAGACGGUCUCAGUUCGGAUUGCAGGCUGCAACUCGCCUGCAUGAAGUCGGAAUUGCUAGUAAUCGCGGAUCAGCAUGCCGCGGUGAAUACGUUCCCGGGUCUUGCACACACCGCCCGU